UUCGAAAGAAAGAUUAAUACCUGAUGGUAUGAUGAGAUUGCAUGAUAGCAUCAUUAAAGAUUUAUCGGUGUACGAUGGGGAUGCGUUCCAUUAGGUAGUAGGCGGGGUAACGGCCCACCUAGCCAACGAUGGAUAGGGGUUCUGAGAGGAAGGUCCCCCACAUUGGAACUGAGACACGGUCCAAACUCCUACGGGAGGCAGCAGUGAGGAAUAUUGGUCAAUGGACGAGAGUCUGAACCAGCCAAGUAGCGUGAAGGAUGAAGGUCCUACGGAUUGUAAACUUCUUUUAUAAGGGAAUAAACCCUCCCACGUGUGGGAGCUUGUAUGUACCUUAUGAAUAAGCAUCGGCUAACUCCGUGCCAGCAGCCGCGGUAAUACGGAGGAUGCGAGCGUUAUCCGGAUUUAUUGGGUUUAAAGGGAGCGCAGACGGGUCGUUAAGUCAGCUGUGAAAGUUUGGGGCUCAACCUUAAAAUUGCAGUUGAUACUGGCGUCCUUGAGUGCGGUUGAGGUGUGCGGAAUUCGUGGUGUAGCGGUGAAAUGCUUAGAUAUCACGAAGAACUCCGAUUGCGAAGGCAGCACACUAAUCCGUAACUGACGUUCAUGCUCGAAAGUGUGGGUAUCAAA
This 624-nucleotide ribosomal RNA is filed under the name uncultured bacterium. Its description in RNAcentral is "bacterial SSU rRNA". It matches the Rfam family "Bacterial small subunit ribosomal RNA", at positions 150 to 772 of the family's 1533-position model. The record is from RNAcentral.